GAAUAUUGGACAAUGGGCGAGAGCCUGAUCCAGCCAUGCCGCGUGCAGGAAGACGGCCCUAUGGGUUGUAAACUUCUUUUAUUUGGGACGAAAUCACUCCUUUCCAGGAGUGUUGACGGUACCAGAUGAAUAAGCACCGGCUAACUCCGUGCCAGCAGCCGCGGUAAUACGGAGGGUGCAAGCGUUAUCCGGAUUCACUGGGUUUAAAGGGUGCGUAGGCGGGCAGGUAAGUCAGUGGUGAAAUCUUCGAGCUUAACUCGGAAACUGCCGUUGAUACUAUCGGUCUUGAAUAUCGUUGAGGUAAGCGGAAUAUGUCAUGUAGCGGUGAAAUGCUUAGAUAUGACAUAGAACACCAAUUGCGAAGGCAGCUUGCUAAACGAUCAUUGACGCUGAUGCACGAAAGCGUGGGGAUCAA
RNAcentral lists this ribosomal RNA (415 nucleotides) under uncultured bacterium. RNAcentral describes it as "bacterial SSU rRNA". It matches the Rfam family "Bacterial small subunit ribosomal RNA", at positions 359 to 771 of the family's 1533-position model. The record is from RNAcentral.